GUACGCAGGCGGUCCAAUAAGUCAGUGGUGAAAUCCUGCAGCUUAACUGUAGAACUGCCAUUGAUACUGUUGGACUUGAAUAUAGUUGAGGUAGGCGGAAUGUGUUGUGUAGCGGUGAAAUGCUUAGAUAUAACACAGAACACCAAUUGCGAAGGCAGCUUACUAAACUAUUAUUGACGCUGAGGUACGAAAGCGUGGGGAGCGAACAGGAUUAGAUACCCUGGUAGUCC
This 230-nucleotide ribosomal RNA is filed under the name uncultured bacterium. RNAcentral's name for it is "partial 16S ribosomal RNA". It matches the Rfam family "Bacterial small subunit ribosomal RNA", at positions 567 to 796 of the family's 1533-position model. The record is from RNAcentral.